ACGAGUGAGUAACACGUAAGUAACCUGCCCCCGAAUGGAGAACAACCAGUCGAAAGAUUGGCUAAUACUCCGUACUAUCCCAUGAAGGCAUCUUCGAGGGAUGAAAGCCGUAAGGCGAUCGGGGAGGGGCUUGCGGCCCAUCAGCUAGUUGGCGGUGUAAUAGACCACCAAGGCUAUGACGGGUACCCGGCCUGAAAGGGCGGACGGGCACGAAGGCACUGAGACACGGGCCUU
Molecule: ribosomal RNA, 234 nt
Filed under: uncultured bacterium
Lineage: Bacteria
Description: partial 16S ribosomal RNA
Rfam family: Bacterial small subunit ribosomal RNA
Source: RNAcentral